GAUCAUGGCUCAGGAUGAACGCUGGCGGCGUGCUUAACACAUGCAAGUCGAACGAAGAUGCCGGAGUGCUUGCACUUUGGCAGACUGAGUGGCGGACGGGUGAGUAACGCGUGGGUAACCUGCCUUAUACAGGGGGAUAACAGUUGGAAACGACUGCUAAUACCGCAUAAGCGCACGGUAUCGCAUGAUACAGUGUGAAAAACUCCGGUGGUAUAAGAUGGACCCGCGUCUGAUUAGCUUGUUGGUGAGGUAACGGCCCACCAAGGCGACGAUCAGUAGCCGGCCUGAGAGGGUGAACGGCCACAUUGGGACUGAGACACGGCCCAAACUCCUACGGGAGGCAGCAGUGGGGAAUAUUGCACAAUGGGGGAAACCCUGAUGCAGCGACGCCGCGUGAGUGAUGAAGUAUUUCGGUAUGUAAAACUCUAUCAGCAGGGAAGAUAAUGACGGUACCUGACUAAGAAGCACCGGCUAAAUACGUG
This 482-nucleotide ribosomal RNA is filed under the name uncultured bacterium. RNAcentral describes it as "bacterial SSU rRNA". It matches the Rfam family "Bacterial small subunit ribosomal RNA", at positions 15 to 507 of the family's 1533-position model. The record is from RNAcentral.